AGCGGCAGGCUUACACAUGCAAGUCGAGGGGUAUAGUUCUUCGGAAUUAGAGACCGGCGCACGGGUGCGUAACGCGUAUGCAAUCUACCUUUCACAGAGGGAUAGCCCAGAGAAAUUUGGAUUAAUACCUCAUGGUAUAUAGCCCUGGCAUCAGGAUUAUAUUAAAGUCACAACGGUGAAAGAUGAGCAUGCGUCCCAUUAGCUAGUUGGUAAGGUAACGGCUUACCAAGGCUACGAUGGGUAGGGGUCCUGAGAGGGAGAUCCCCCAACUGGUACUGAGACACGGACCAGACUCCUACGGGAGGCAGCAGUGAGGAAUAUUGGACAAUGGGCGCAAGCCUGAUCCAGCCAUGCCGCGUGCAGGAUGACGGUCCUAUGGAUUGUAAACUGCUUUUGCACAGGAAGAAACAACGCUACGUGUAGCGUCUUGACGGUACUGUGAGAAUAAGGAUCGGCUAACUCCGUGCCAGCAGCCGCGGUAAUACGGAGGAUCCAAGCGUUAUCCGGAAUCAUUGGGUUUAAAGGGUCCGUAGGCGGUUUAGUAAGUCAGUGGUGAAAGCCCAUCGCUCAACGAUGGAACGGCAUUGAUACUUGUAGACUUGAUUAUUAGGAAGUAACUAGAAUAUGGUAGUGUAGCGGGUGAA
RNAcentral lists this ribosomal RNA (644 nucleotides) under uncultured bacterium. RNAcentral describes it as "bacterial SSU rRNA". It matches the Rfam family "Bacterial small subunit ribosomal RNA", at positions 38 to 686 of the family's 1533-position model. The record is from RNAcentral.